AUGGCCCCGACGCUGACGGGCCUACCAAGCGGCCUCCUCACCGAAAUCCUUCUCCGGCUGCCCGCGCCGGAGGACCUCGCUCGCGCCUCGGCGGCCUGCCCCGCCUUCCGCCGCGUCGCCACUGACGGCUCCUUCCUACGCCGCUUCCGCUGCCUCCACGCGCCGCGGCUCCUCGCCUUCAUCGACCUCGACGGCUUCCAGCCCGCGCUCCCGCCCCACCCCUCCGCGCCCGCCGCCCGCGCGCUCUCCCGCGCCGCCGACUUCUCCUUCUCCUUCCUCCCCUCCCACUGCCGCUGGGUCCCGAUGGACGUCCGCGACGGCCGCGUCCUCCUCGGCCGCGACCACGGGCAGGACGCGCGGCCCCCGAUCUGCAGGGAGCUCGCGGUGUGCGACCCCCUGCACCGGCGCUACGUCCUGCUCCCCCCGGUGCCCGACGCCCUCGUCGCCUCGACAGAGCGCCCGCCCCCCGUGCGACGCAGGCCCUUCGACGAGCCUCUCCUCCUUCCCGUCGGCGAGAACGAUGAAGCGACGGCAUUCACGGUGAUCUCUAUGGUGCAUUGCGAGACUAAGCUGGCCCCCUUUGUGUUCUCUUCGAGCACCGGGCAGUGGCGAGCGGCGGCACCCAUGCUUUGGUCGGCCAUGCCAGUGUCGCCCAUGGACCAUACUUAUCUCAGGCGGCAUCACGCCUAUGGCUGCUUCUACUGGGAGUCCACCCUCAUCAAGAGGAGAGAGUUGCUUGUGCUCAACAUCCAGAGGAUGGAGUUCUGGAUCGCCGAGCUCCCGUCCUCUGGUUGGGGCACGCUAGGCGUGGCCAUUGUGGAGGCAGGGGAGGGCAGGCUUGGGCUGUUUGGUAUCCGUGAUGGAACUGCAGGUGGCAAACCUGACCUCUGCUACACUGUCGACAGGCGUAACAAAGGCAAGAAUUCAGGCCGGUGGCAGAUGGUGAAGACAUUCUCACUGGGUUCUGAGGGCCUGAAUUAUAUCAAAGCCGCAACAGAGAGGUAUGUGCUCCUGAUAUGUUCUGAAGCCCCGCGGUUCGUAGGCUUGUCUAUGGAGAUGCCAGACUUGGAGUAUAUCUCAGUGGACGUCAAGAAGUUGCAGCUUGAGAGGGUCUGUGUGAAGCCUUUCGGGAAUUCAUUGUCCAGGACACGCAUAUAUGCCCACUUCCCGCCGUCGCUGUCCUCGCCGACAAUAUGA
Molecule: ribosomal RNA, 1197 nt
Filed under: Triticum aestivum (bread wheat)
Lineage: Eukaryota; Viridiplantae; Streptophyta; Magnoliopsida; Poales; Poaceae
Description: partial small subunit ribosomal RNA
Source: RNAcentral